AGGGAUUCGCCUUUGCCUCAGACAGAAGAACAACGGAUUGAACAGGACAACCGGGAAGGGAAGCCUGACAUAGUAGAUAUUGAUUUGAACAAAGGAACUGAAACCGGUACCAGAAACCAAGCAAGAGAUGGAAUUCAAAAUGAAACAGAUGACCAACCUACAAUAAGAAAGACGAAAACGGAAUUAGGAAUUCCAUUCUCUAAGACGAACUAAAGGAAUGUCUCUAAGCAGCCAAGG
Molecule: long non-coding RNA, 237 nt
Filed under: Nicotiana benthamiana
Lineage: Eukaryota; Viridiplantae; Streptophyta; Magnoliopsida; Solanales; Solanaceae
Description: long non-coding RNA (NBEN_LNC039329)
Source: RNAcentral